This 2904-nucleotide ribosomal RNA is filed under the name Escherichia coli MP020980.2. Its description in RNAcentral is "bacterial LSU rRNA". It matches the Rfam family "Bacterial large subunit ribosomal RNA". Lineage: Bacteria; Pseudomonadati; Pseudomonadota; Gammaproteobacteria; Enterobacterales; Enterobacteriaceae. The record is from RNAcentral.
UUAAGCGACUAAGCGUACACGGUGGAUGCCCUGGCAGUCAGAGGCGAUGAAGGACGUGCUAAUCUGCGAUAAGCGUCGGUAAGGUGAUAUGAACCGUUAUAACCGGCGAUUUCCGAAUGGGGAAACCCAGUGUGUUUCGUCACACUAUCAUUAACUGAAUCCAUAGGUUAAUGAGGCGAACCGGGGGAACUGAAACAUCUAAGUACCCCGAGGAAAAGAAAUCAACCGAGAUUCCCCCAGUAGCGGCGAGCGAACGGGGAGCAGCCCAGAGCCUGAAUCAGUGUGUGUGUUAGUGGAAGCGUCUGGAAAGGCGCGCGAUACAGGGUGACAGCCCCGUACACAAAAAUGCACAUGCUGUGAGCUCGAUGAGUAGGGCGGGACACGUGGUAUCCUGUCUGAAUAUGGGGGGACCAUCCUCCAAGGCUAAAUACUCCUGACUGACCGAUAGUGAACCAGUACCGUGAGGGAAAGGCGAAAAGAACCCCGGCGAGGGGAGUGAAAAAGAACCUGAAACCGUGUACGUACAAGCAGUGGGAGCCUCUCUUUAUGGGGGGUGACUGCGUACCUUUUGUAUAAUGGGUCAGCGACUUAUAUUCUGUAGCAAGGUUAACCGAAUAGGGGAGCCGAAGGGAAACCGAGUCUUAACUGGGCGUUAAGUUGCAGGGUAUAGACCCGAAACCCGGUGAUCUAGCCAUGGGCAGGUUGAAGGUUGGGUAACACUAACUGGAGGACCGAACCGACUAAUGUUGAAAAAUUAGCGGAUGACUUGUGGCUGGGGGUGAAAGGCCAAUCAAACCGGGAGAUAGCUGGUUCUCCCCGAAAGCUAUUUAGGUAGCGCCUCGUGAAUUCAUCUCCGGGGGUAGAGCACUGUUUCGGCAAGGGGGUCAUCCCGACUUACCAACCCGAUGCAAACUGCGAAUACCGGAGAAUGUUAUCACGGGAGACACACGGCGGGUGCUAACGUCCGUCGUGAAGAGGGAAACAACCCAGACCGCCAGCUAAGGUCCCAAAGUCAUGGUUAAGUGGGAAACGAUGUGGGAAGGCCCAGACAGCCAGGAUGUUGGCUUAGAAGCAGCCAUCAUUUAAAGAAAGCGUAAUAGCUCACUGGUCGAGUCGGCCUGCGCGGAAGAUGUAACGGGGCUAAACCAUGCACCGAAGCUGCGGCAGCGACACUGUGUGUUGUUGGGUAGGGGAGCGUUCUGUAAGCCUGCGAAGGUGACCUGUGAGGGUUGCUGGAGGUAUCAGAAGUGCGAAUGCUGACAUAAGUAACGAUAAAGCGGGUGAAAAGCCCGCUCGCCGGAAGACCAAGGGUUCCUGUCCAACGUUAAUCGGGGCAGGGUGAGUCGACCCCUAAGGCGAGGCCGAAAGGCGUAGUCGAUGGGAAACAGGUUAAUAUUCCUGUACUUGGUGUUACUGCGAAGGGGGGACGGAGAAGGCUAUGUUGGCCGGGCGACGGUUGUCCCGGUUUAAGCGUGUAGGCUGGUUUUCCAGGCAAAUCCGGAAAAUCAAGGCUGAGGCGUGAUGACGAGGCACUACGGUGCUGAAGCAACAAAUGCCCUGCUUCCAGGAAAAGCCUCUAAGCAUCAGGUAACAUCAAAUCGUACCCCAAACCGACACAGGUGGUCAGGUAGAGAAUACCAAGGCGCUUGAGAGAACUCGGGUGAAGGAACUAGGCAAAAUGGUGCCGUAACUUCGGGAGAAGGCACGCUGAUACGUAGGUGAAGUCCCUCGCGGAUGGAGCUGAAAUCAGUCGAAGAUACCAGCUGGCUGCAACUGUUUAUUAAAAACACAGCACUGUGCAAACACGAAAGUGGACGUAUACGGUGUGACGCCUGCCCGGUGCCGGAAGGUUAAUUGAUGGGGUUAGCGCAAGCGAAGCUCUUGAUCGAAGCCCCGGUAAACGGCGGCCGUAACUAUAACGGUCCUAAGGUAGCGAAAUUCCUUGUCGGGUAAGUUCCGACCUGCACGAAUGGCGUAAUGAUGGCCAGGCUGUCUCCACCCGAGACUCAGUGAAAUUGAACUCGCUGUGAAGAUGCAGUGUACCCGCGGCAAGACGGAAAGACCCCGUGAACCUUUACUAUAGCUUGACACUGAACAUUGAGCCUUGAUGUGUAGGAUAGGUGGGAGGCUUUGAAGUGUGGACGCCAGUCUGCAUGGAGCCGACCUUGAAAUACCACCCUUUAAUGUUUGAUGUUCUAACGUGGACCCGUGAACCGGGUUGCGGACAGUGUCUGGUGGGUAGUUUGACUGGGGCGGUCUCCUCCUAAAGAGUAACGGAGGAGCACGAAGGUUGGCUAAUCCUGGUCGGACAUCAGGAGGUUAGUGCAAUGGCAUAAGCCAGCUUGACUGCGAGCGUGACGGCGCGAGCAGGUGCGAAAGCAGGUCAUAGUGAUCCGGUGGUUCUGAAUGGAAGGGCCAUCGCUCAACGGAUAAAAGGUACUCCGGGGAUAACAGGCUGAUACCGCCCAAGAGUUCAUAUCGACGGCGGUGUUUGGCACCUCGAUGUCGGCUCAUCACAUCCUGGGGCUGAAGUAGGUCCCAAGGGUAUGGCUGUUCGCCAUUUAAAGUGGUACGCGAGCUGGGUUUAGAACGUCGUGAGACAGUUCGGUCCCUAUCUGCCGUGGGCGCUGGAGAACUGAGGGGGGCUGCUCCUAGUACGAGAGGACCGGAGUGGACGCAUCACUGGUGUUCGGGUUGUCAUGCCAAUGGCACUGCCCGGUAGCUAAAUGCGGAAGAGAUAAGUGCUGAAAGCAUCUAAGCACGAAACUUGCCCCGAGAUGAGUUCUCCCUGACCCUUUAAGGGUCCUGAAGGAACGUUGAAGACGACGACGUUGAUAGGCCGGGUGUGUAAGCGCAGCGAUGCGUUGAGCUAACCGGUACUAAUGAACCGUGAGGCUUAACCUU